AUGAACAGCCUAAGUGCCCGAAGAACAAAGAUAGUACCCCCAAGCCCAAGUUUGAUGCACGGAUUAAAGGAAAAACUCCCAAAUUCACUCCUUCUCGAACUUCUGCCCUGCUCCCUACAUUUAGAGGUUUUUAUUUUGUUCACCAUUCUCCGUUCCAUUGAUGCAGAUUUUAUAUGUCACCAGUUUUUCUCAUACUGCUGCUGCUCCUCAGCUCAAGGAAAUUCCAGUCAUCAACAAAACACUUCUGGUUCCUCAGGUGGAGAAGUCAACCCUAUAUACUCUGAGCUUUCAUUUGUUCUCCAUGAAAAUUUGUCCCAAGAUGACUAUUCGGAUCUCGACAGCACGGACAUAGUUCACAAUGUUGUAUAUGACAUAAUUCAGAAAGGUGGAGAAGCCGGAAGAAUCGCCAAGGGAUCCAAAAAGUUAAAGCUGGAUAGAGGGAUUCUUUUGGAUAACUAUGUUCAAAGGGGUCCUAUAUUAGUGGAUGCACAAUCACAGUCUUUGUUGACCCACUCAAAGCGAUCAAAAAGACACAUGUCACUGAAGCAACAUAAGAAAUGUGGGUCAUUUGAUUUACAUGAUACAUUCCGCAGGUUUGACCUCUAUAAGCCAAUACAUGAAAUGUGGAAAGAGUAUAUGUGA
RNAcentral lists this ribosomal RNA (642 nucleotides) under Triticum aestivum (bread wheat). RNAcentral describes it as "partial small subunit ribosomal RNA". The record is from RNAcentral. Lineage: Eukaryota; Viridiplantae; Streptophyta; Magnoliopsida; Poales; Poaceae.